Molecule: ribosomal RNA, 305 nt
Filed under: uncultured bacterium
Lineage: Bacteria
Description: bacterial SSU rRNA
Rfam family: Bacterial small subunit ribosomal RNA
Source: RNAcentral
GGCCCACGGGGCGCAGCAGUGGGGAAUAUUGGACAAUGGGGGGAACCCUGAUCCAGCGACGCCGCGUGAGUGAAGAAGUAUUUCGGUAUGUAAAGCUCUAUCAGCAGGGAAGAAAGAAAUGACGGUACCUGACUAAGAAGCCCCGGCUAACUACGUGCCAGCAGCCGCGGUAAUAUGUAGGGGGCAAGCGUUAUCCGGAUUUACUGGGUGUAAAGGGAGCGUAGACGGCGAUGCAAGUCUGAAGUGAAACGUACCGGCUCAACCGGUACAGGCUCUGGAAACUGGCGGGCUAGAGAGCAGGAGAG